GAUGAACGCUGGCGGUAUGCCUAACACAUGCAAGUCGUACGAGAGUUUUUAACUCUAGUGGCGGACGGGUGAGUAACACGUGAGAAUUUGCCUUUAGGAGGGGGAUAACAAUUGGAAACGAAUGCUAAUACCCCAUAUGCUUUUGAGUGAAACGGAUUUAUCCGCCUAGAGAGAAGCUCGCGGCUGAUUAGCUUGUUAGUAAGGUAAGAGCUUACCAAGGCGACGAUCAGUAUCUGGUUUGAGAGGACGAUCAGACACACUGGAACUGAGACACGGUCCAGACUCCUACGGGAGGCAGCAGUGGGGAAUUUUCCGCAAUGGGCGAAAGCCUGACGGAGCAAUACCGCGUGAGGGAAGACUGCCUAUGGGUUGUAAACCUCUUUUUUCAGGGAGGAAUAAAUGACGUGUACCUGAAGAAUAAGCAUCGGCUAACUCCGUG
Molecule: ribosomal RNA, 439 nt
Filed under: uncultured bacterium
Lineage: Bacteria
Description: bacterial SSU rRNA
Rfam family: Bacterial small subunit ribosomal RNA
Source: RNAcentral